GAGUUUGAUCGUGGCUCAGAUUGAACGCUGGCGGCAUGCCUUACACAUGCAAGUCGAACGGCAGCACGGGAGCUUGCUCCUGGUGGCGAGUGGCGAACGGGUGAGUAAUGCAUCGGAACGUAUCCUGGAGUGGGGGAUAACGUAGCGAAAGUUACGCUAAUACCGCAUAUUCUGUGAGCAGGAAAGCGGGGGACCUUCGGGCCUCGCGCUCUUGGAGCGGCCGAUGUCGGAUUAGCUAGUUGGUGAGGUAAAGGCUCACCAAGGCGACGAUCCGUAGCAGGUCUGAGAGGAUGAUCUGCCACACUGGAACUGAGACACGGUCCAGACUCCUACGGGAGGCAGCAGUGGGAAUUUUGGACAAUGGGGGCAACCCUGAUCCAGCCAUGCCGCGUGAGUGAAGAAGGCCUUCGGUGUAAG
Molecule: ribosomal RNA, 417 nt
Filed under: bacterium enrichment culture clone ALO1_GLFRUDD03F4I1W
Lineage: Bacteria
Description: bacterial SSU rRNA
Rfam family: Bacterial small subunit ribosomal RNA
Source: RNAcentral